AGCAGUGGGGAAUAUUGCACAAUGGGGGAAACCCUGAUGCAGCCAUGCCGCGUGUGUGAAGAAGGCUUUCGGGUUGUAAAGCACUUUCAGCGAGGAGGAAAGGGUAUUGCUUAAUACGUAAUAUCUGUGACGUUACUCGCAGAAGAAGCACCGGCUAACUCCGUGCCAGCAGCCGCGGUAAUACGGAGGGUGCAAGCGUUAAUCGGAAUUACUGGGCGUAAAGCGCGCGUAGGUGGUUAAUUAAGUCAGAUGUGAAAGCCCAGGGCUCAACCUUGGAACUGCAUUUGAAACUGGUUAACUAGAGUUUUGUAGAGGGUGGUAGAAUUUCAGGUGUAGCGGUGAAAUGCGUAGAGAUCUGAAGGAAUACCAGUGGCGAAGGCGGCCACCUGGACAAUAACUGACACUGAGGCGCGAAGGCGUGGGGAGCAAACGGGAUUAGAUACCCCGGUAGUCCACGCAGUAAACGAUGUCUAUUAGAAGUUUGUGGCUAUAUGCCGUGGG
This 501-nucleotide ribosomal RNA is filed under the name uncultured bacterium. Its description in RNAcentral is "bacterial SSU rRNA". It matches the Rfam family "Bacterial small subunit ribosomal RNA", at positions 350 to 843 of the family's 1533-position model. The record is from RNAcentral.